Molecule: microRNA precursor, 168 nt
Filed under: Linum usitatissimum (flax)
Lineage: Eukaryota; Viridiplantae; Streptophyta; Magnoliopsida; Malpighiales; Linaceae
Description: miR162b stem-loop (lus-MIR162b)
Gene: lus-MIR162b
Rfam family: MIR162_1 microRNA precursor family (bases 31-143)
Source: miRBase by way of RNAcentral
GUGUCUGAAGGGUUGUGAAGAGGGAGGGAACACACGGAGUUUGGAGGCAGCGGUUCAUCGAUCUCUUCAUGGUUUAUGUGGGUUCAUCCGAUCACAAAAACACGUGAAUCGAUCGAUAAACCUCUGCAUCCAGCAACCCCCCUAGUUUCUCCCUUCCUACCUUCUCAU